RNAcentral lists this ribosomal RNA (253 nucleotides) under uncultured bacterium. RNAcentral describes it as "partial 16S ribosomal RNA". It matches the Rfam family "Bacterial small subunit ribosomal RNA", at positions 524 to 776 of the family's 1533-position model. The record is from RNAcentral.
UACGUAGGGUGCGAGCGUUGCCCGGAUUUAUUGGGCGUAAAGAGCGUGUAGGCGGCCAUACAGGUCAGCUGUGAAAACUCGAGGCUCAACCUCGAGACGUCGGUUGAAACCGUAUGGCUAGAGUCCGGAAGAGGAGAGUGGAAUUCCCGGUGUAGCGGUGAAAUGCGCAGAUAUCGGGAAGAACACCUAUGGCGAAGGCAGCUCUCUGGGACGGUACUGACGCUGAGGAGCGAAAGCGUGGGGAGCGAACAGG